AGAGUUUGAUCCUGGCUCAGAGCGAACGCUGGCGGCGUACUUAACACAUGCAAGUCGAACGGGGAUCGUCGGGUUAGCAAUAAUUCGGCGGUCCUAGUGGCGCACGGGUGAGUAACACGUGGGUAACCUGCCCUUGAGUUCGGGAUACCCCCUCGAAAGGGGGGCUAAUACCGGAUACGUUCCUCGGAUCGACAGGUCUGGGGAGGAAAGGUGGCGCAAGCUGCCGCUCUUGGAGGGGCUCGCGGCCUAUCAGCUAGUUGGCGGGGUAACGGCCCACCAAGGCUAUGACGGGUAGCUGGUCUGAGAGGACGACCAGUCACACGGGGACUGAGACACGGCCCCGACUCCUACGGGAGGCAGCAGUGGGGAAUUUUCCGCAAUGGGCGAAAGCCUGACGGAGUGACGCCGCGUGUGGGACGAAGGCCUUCGGGUCGUAAACCACUGUCAGUGGGAAAGAAGGGUGUCGGCGUUAAUACCGCCGGCAUUUGACGGUACCUGCAGAGGAAGCCCCGGCCAACUCUGUGCCAGCAGCCGCGGUAAA
Molecule: ribosomal RNA, 541 nt
Filed under: uncultured Desulfuromonas sp.
Lineage: Bacteria; Pseudomonadati; Thermodesulfobacteriota; Desulfuromonadia; Desulfuromonadales; Desulfuromonadaceae
Description: bacterial SSU rRNA
Rfam family: Bacterial small subunit ribosomal RNA
Source: RNAcentral